Molecule: ribosomal RNA, 565 nt
Filed under: uncultured Glomeromycotina
Lineage: Eukaryota; Fungi; Glomeromycota
Description: SSU rRNA
Rfam family: Eukaryotic small subunit ribosomal RNA
Source: RNAcentral
UUGGAGGGCAAGUCUGGUGCCAGCAGCCGCGGUAAUUCCAGCUCCAAUAGCGUAUAUUAAAGUUGUUGCAGUUAAAAAGCUCGUAGUUGAAUUUCGGGGUUAGUAGGUUGGUCAUGCCUCUGGUAUGUACUGGUCUCACUGAUUCCUCCUUCCUGAUGAGCCGUAAUGCCAUUAAUUUGGUGUUGCGGGGAAUUUGGACUGUUACUUUGAAAAAAUUAGAGUGUUUAAAGCAAGCUAACGCUUGAAUACAUUAGCAUGGAAUAAUGAAAUAGGACGUUCGAUCCUAUUUUGUUGGUUUCUAGGAUUGACGUAAUGAUUAAUAGGGAUAGUUGGGGGCAUUGGUAUUCAAUUGUCAGAGGUGAAAUUCUUGGAUUUAUUGAAGACUAACUACUGCGAAAGCAUUUGCCAAGGAUGUUUUCAUUAAUCAAGAACGAAAGUUAGGGGAUCGAAGACGAUCAGAUACCGUCGUAGUCUUAACCAUAAACUAUGCCGACUAGGGAUCGGAUGAUGUUAAUUUUUUAAUGACUCAUUCGGCGCCUUACGGGAAACCAAAGUGUUUGGGUUC